RNAcentral lists this ribosomal RNA (520 nucleotides) under uncultured Glomus. Its description in RNAcentral is "SSU rRNA". It matches the Rfam family "Eukaryotic small subunit ribosomal RNA", at positions 569 to 1093 of the family's 1831-position model. Lineage: Eukaryota; Fungi; Glomeromycota; Glomeromycetes; Glomerales; Glomeraceae. The record is from RNAcentral.
AGCAGCCGCGGUAAUUCCAGCUCCAAUAGCGUAUAUUAAAGUUGCUGCAGUUAAAAAGCUCGUAGUUGAAUUUCGGGACUAAUAUGUCGGUCGUGCCUCGGUACGUACUGGUAUUUUUGGUUUCUCCCUUCUGACGAACCUUGAUGUCAUUAAUUUGGCGUCUUGGGGAAUCAGGACUGUUACUUUGAAAAAAUUAGAGUGUUUAAAGCAGGCUCACGCUUGAAUACAUUAGCAUGGAAUAAUGAAAUAGGACGUUUGAUUCUAUUUUGUUGGUUUCUAGGAUCGACGUAAUGAUUAAUAGGGAUAGUUGGGGGCAUUAGUAUUCAAUUGUCAGAGGUGAAAUUCUUGGAUUUAUUGAAGACUAACUACUGCGAAAGCAUUUGCCAAGGAUGUUUUCAUUAAUCAAGAACGAAAGUUAGGGGAUCGAAGACGAUCAGAUACCGUCGUAGUCUUAACCAUAAACUAUGCCGACUAGGGAUCGGAUGAUGUAAUUUUUAAUGACUCAUUCGGCGCCUUACGG